UCUAGCUUAAUUGGUAGAGUGUAAGGCUUUUAACCUUGUGGUCGUGGGUUUGAGCCCUACGA
Molecule: transfer RNA, 62 nt
Filed under: Solanum lycopersicum (tomato)
Lineage: Eukaryota; Viridiplantae; Streptophyta; Magnoliopsida; Solanales; Solanaceae
Rfam family: tRNA
About the family: Transfer RNA (tRNA) molecules are approximately 80 nucleotides in length.
Source: Rfam by way of RNAcentral